UACGGCCCUGCUGGGAAGACGCAUUGAUGAUGGCGCUGAGAGAAAGGCUUGGAAGCUUGGGAUUUGGGAAAACAGUUCUGGAAGAAAGUGUGUUGUCCUCGCCCACGAAUACGAUACCUCUCAUUGGUUAGGUCUGGCUUUCUUCUUCAGACAUUUUCCCUUCGAGUAUGAAGUGUGUAUCCCCAUGACCAGGCCUCUACCUACACAAUUGGAUGGAUCAAUAGCCCUCAUUCCAAUGGAUUCGAUGUUUGUCAACUCUCUGGGUCUUCCACUUCCUGUGGUGAACCUUCUCAAGAAUCGCAUUAUUUACCCACCCAGGCAGGACAAUAGGAUCAGAAUUGGGCCCUUUGUGUGGGUGUAGGCCACUUACCAGCUGAUAUUGUUAGACGUGUCGGAAUGGACUUUCUUGCCAGCACAGGUGCUAGGAGCUGUAAUUAAGAGCGAAACAGUUACUCAAUAUUAACUCUUUCAAUGUCUUGAGAGACAUUGUCAAUCAGAAAGAUUUCAUUGUUUAAGAGGGCAUUUAGGAAAAAAAAAUUGAACGUUCAUUUGAUAGCCACUGGCUGUUGGUUUCCAAUUAGUUUGUAGAUUUUCUUGUAAUAGGACAUUAUCAUGUAAAUGACUAAUCUCAAUCUCUGGGAAGCCAAUAUUCUAAACAGACUUUUCUAAAUGAUGCUUGCAUAAAAUGUUCUUUAACUCCAAUUUGAAAUAAAAAUGUAGAUACCCCCGGACAACAGUCUAAAUCUGGGGUUUUCCUCACCUCUCGUCCCCUAGGAUAACAGUCUCAAUCCCAACUUUGCCCUCCAUGUAUACUCAAUUUAAAGCCUGUUGUAAAGGGUCCAUAGUGAAUUAUAAAUGAGUAUCAUCUAACAUUCUAAUGUUUAUAAAGGUGUAUAGGCAGUUUAUUUUUUCAGCCGUUGAUUCUGUGUGAAAAUGUGAAAUUCUCAAUACAUUUCUUUAUAUCCAUAUCAUAUAUGUCAUUUCUGUCUUAGAACAUAAUUAUUCAUGAUGUGAUCUCUUAAUGAUUCAAAAUAGUUAAAUGCACUUUACCAAAAUUUACAUUUUUAAUUUGAAUAAAUAUGUAAGCUAAAUACUGGGUGACUGUGCAUAACAAAUUCUAAUGACAACUUAGCAGAUGCUACAGAAAAUUAGAAAAUUCAUCUUGAAAUUUUUCGAAAAGUGGUAACACGAUAGCAAAAAUGUUUCAAAUGGGCACACUCGAUUCAAUUCAUGUUAAUAAUUCCAGCUUUCAAACGCUUCCUGAACGCAGCUUAUGUGAGUGGAUUAUAUAAAGAGGAUUAUCUAGGGAUUAAUUCUACACCUUUAGGAAAUGGUCACUGGGAGAUUGUUUGUCUCUUUUCCAUUUAUAAGCUAUUAUAUCAUAAUAAAAUGAAGAAUCCGGAAUAUAUUUAGAGAAUAAAAAGAUCAAAUAAAGCAGAAAACGAUGCAGAUGACAGCUUUUCUAUGUAAAUUGGAUAUGUGACUAUGAAGUCAAAGAGUACCGAUAUAUAUAAAGUUUUCUGCCUGUCCUUGGUAUGCACGAUUAAUUCACUUUGCUGAUCAUGCUCCUGAUUUGAAACCUUUUUCCUACUCUUCCAUGGCCGUAUGCAGCAGGGGGUAGAAGCCCUGCCCCCCCCCAAAAAAAUGAAAACUUACAUGUUUAUACCGAAAAUGUUUGCAAAAUUCACCAACAGUGCACAAAAUCCUUCAAUUUUACAAAAGAAAGAUACAAAGGCGCCCCAUGACAAAAUCGGUUUGCUGCGCUCUCUUGCAUUUGAGUUUAUUCGAAAUAUUUUAUGCACCUUGCACCCCCACCCAGAUUUUUUUUUUUUUUGCAUAUCCAUGGCCAACAUAAUUAGCUGGACCUAUUUUAAGUCUCCUUUAAGUGUAUCAAAAACACUGAUUUUCAAGAAAAAGGGUGGUUUUGAAAGACUGGUCAAUGGUCAAUCGUGGGGUCAAACGUGUUUAGGGUAUGUUUUUUCCCCAAAGCUUUUUUUUUUAAGACUAGCCAACAUGUUUAGGGUAUGUUUUUUGGUCACGCGUGUGUACAGCAAUAUAUUUGACUCCCCCCCCCACCGGGAGAUAACGGUUAUUGCACCCAUUUUCAG
Long non-coding RNA from Lytechinus pictus (painted urchin), 2108 nucleotides. RefSeq lists it as uncharacterized. The transcript is spliced from 3 exons. The record is from RefSeq and is a predicted model, not a curated record. NCBI's taxonomy places the organism in Eukaryota, Metazoa, Echinodermata, Echinoidea, Temnopleuroida, Toxopneustidae.